RNAcentral lists this ribosomal RNA (253 nucleotides) under uncultured bacterium. RNAcentral's name for it is "partial 16S ribosomal RNA". It matches the Rfam family "Bacterial small subunit ribosomal RNA", at positions 524 to 776 of the family's 1533-position model. The record is from RNAcentral.
UACAGAGGUCCCAAGCGUUGUUCGGAUUCACUGGGCGUAAAGCGCACGUAGGCGGAUUGUUAAGUCGGGGGUGAAAUCCUGAGGCUCAACCUCAGAACUGCCUUCGAUACUGGCAAUCUCGAGUCCGGAAGAGGUUGGUGGAACAGCUAGUGUAGAGGUGAAAUUUGUAGAUAUUAGCUAGAACACCAGUGGCGAAGGCGGCCAACUGGUCCGGCACUGACGCUGAGGUGCGAAAGCGUGGGGAGCAAACAGG